This 58-nucleotide microRNA precursor is filed under the name Homo sapiens (human). RNAcentral's name for it is "miAB6_pre". The record is from RNAcentral. Lineage: Eukaryota; Metazoa; Chordata; Mammalia; Primates; Hominidae.
AGGGUCUCACUGUUGCCAGGACUGCUCUGAAACUCCUGGUUUCAAGUGAUCCCCUUGC